GCAGGUCUGCGACGUGCGUGAUGGCUGUACCGAUUUGUUGAACCAACACUGGACCUCCGGGAGCUCUCGUCGUCCUGCUGGUGAGCACGUCCCCGGCGGUGGCUCCGCCUUGGCGGACCACGGUUUGGGAAAGCCUGAAGGCAGGCGCAGGGCACCCACCUGGUAGCGGGGUUCAGAAUCGAGCACCACACGGCGAAGCGGAUC
RNAcentral lists this non-coding RNA (204 nucleotides) under Bacillota bacterium. RNAcentral describes it as "partial 6S RNA". It matches the Rfam family "6S / SsrS RNA". Rfam says of the family: E. coli 6S RNA was the first non coding RNA to be sequenced, but its function was unknown until recently. It consists of 184 nucleotides that fold into an extended hairpin structure with a large single-stranded internal bulge. The 6S RNA specifically associates with RNA polymerase holoenzyme containing the sigma70 specificity factor. The record is from RNAcentral. Lineage: Bacteria; Bacillati; Bacillota.